CGGGGACCGGCUAUCCGAGGCCAACCGAGGCGCCGCGGGGCUGCCGUAUCGUUCCGCCUGGGCGGGAUUCUGACUUAAGAGGCGUUCAGUCAUAAUCCCACAGAUGGUAGCUUCGCCCCAUUGGCUCCUCAGCCAAUGGGAUCUGAUUUUUUAAGCAGUCACAACACUAGACUUUUAAUUGAGAAAGCUCUGUAAGCAAUUAAAAGCCGCUGUUGUUUUAAACUCUUCUUGUGUCACCUGCUG
Molecule: long non-coding RNA, 243 nt
Filed under: Homo sapiens (human)
Lineage: Eukaryota; Metazoa; Chordata; Mammalia; Primates; Hominidae
Description: HSALNT0371524
Source: RNAcentral